Piliocolobus tephrosceles (Ugandan red Colobus) is the source of this 1769-nucleotide long non-coding RNA. RefSeq lists it as uncharacterized. The record is from RefSeq and is a predicted model, not a curated record. Lineage: Eukaryota; Metazoa; Chordata; Mammalia; Primates; Cercopithecidae. The transcript is spliced from 3 exons.
GCCAGGAUGGUCUCGAUCUCCUGACCUCGUGAUCUGCCCAUCUUGGCCUCCCAAAGUGCUGGGAUUACAGGUGUGAGCUACCAUGCCCCGCAGCUUGUGCUAAACUUUUAAACGUAUUUCCUUGACUACCUCAGCUUCCUUCUCCUCCACUCAGCCUUCUCUGCGAAUUGCUUUAUAUGGACAAAACUGGAACCAGCAGCAACCUUCCCAGCUGCCCCAGCCCCACCACCAGACCUUUGUGUGACAACAGUCCCCGGGGUCUUGGGUCUGGAUUGUUGACAUUCUAAUCUUAUUGGUUCUCUGCAAUGCUUGCUUUCUUUGGGUUAUUUCUCUCUUUUCCACCCUCCCCUCCUUAGGACACAGACACUCUUUCUUCAGAUCCCUCCCCACUUAUAGCCCCCUCCCCUCCUCCUCACCUGUUGGCCCUCUGCCCCGGCAGCCUGCUUCCCCAGGGAAUCCAUACACAAGGGCCUGCCUCCCUUCCGAGCACUCCUCCCCUUCUGCACAGUCUUCCUCUCUUCUCAUCCUCUAUCUUCUGCCACCUUGUUCUCUGUGCCCAGGCCCUCUCGUGAUCUCAUUCGCCACAGAUACACCCUGCUGCCUAGCUCCCGCCCGCAGGCAUCAUUUGAUCGAUGGGUUUGAGGUUUGUUGACAGUUGGGGUUUUUCUCUCUCAGUGAGGAAGAAGCAAGAAACCUCAACACUGCAAUUUCCUCAACUCCCAGUGAUGGUGACAAAUUCUGAGGCCCCAGGGCGGGGGCUGUGUUUGUGUCUUCACACGCCCUGUGGAGUGUUGUCCUCACAGUGGUAAAGAAAUAAGGAGGUGAAAAGACAUUUGCAAGCUGACUGCCCUCAAGGAGCUGUGCACACCUUCUUCACCCACCAUGAGGCUUAGCAAAGGGUCACACCCAGGAACUGAAGCUCUCCCUGUGUCUCCAGGGGUGGGAAGGCGGUGUCUGUGGUUAUCCACCUCCAUUCAGAGCCAAGAAACAAGGAUCCCGACAUCGCAAGCUAUUCCAGGUGAAGCUAAAAAGAAGAUAAUCCCCAAGUCUCUGGGUAAAGAAACUCUCUGCCACCCUCAAUCAAAUCAAAGCCAAACUCCCUGAUGUCGGUAGUGAAGGGGAAGGUCCCCCCAAGGGUGGGGUGGAGUGAGGUGUGGCUUUCCUUACCCCUUGGUGGUACCAGUGAGACAAGGGAGAAAUCUCUAGGGAAAGGUGAGCCUUGGAGGGCAAAACACAGCCAAGAGAUCGAACCACUUUUCCCAUGUGGAGAGUCUCCUGCCAGCCAGAGCCAAUCUCAGGAAAUAUGAGUUCGAUUUUAUUAAGGAAACCAACACGUUUCCUUCUGUCUAAUGUAGGCUCUGUGUUAUUCACAUUGUCGGCUCCCAGGAUGUGAAAUGUUAUCCUAGUACAGAACCCAGAAAAGCAUGGACUGAAUGUCUCUUUAGAGAGCUUUAGCCAACUAUUUAAAAAAGUGGAGUCUACCUUCCUAACAGAGUUAAUAAUCACAUGCCUUGAUAGGGAGCAGCAGUAAUAGUUGAGGCAAUAAUAACAGUUGACUUUUUCUUUUAGCAGUUGCAAUAUAAGAUUCAUAACUAUCCUGUUAAGAUGGUAUUAUUUACAGUCAUCACUCAGUAUCUUUCUGGAUUGGCUCCAGGACCCCCUUGGAUACCAAAAUCCACGGAUACUUGAAUUUCUGAAAUAAAAUGGUGUAGUAUUUGCAUAUAACCUAGGCACAUCCUUCCAUAUACUUUUUUGUUUGUUUGUUUGUA